CUGAAUCUGGAAUGGAAACCAGUGUUGCCCACAAACCAGUAAUCAUUGAAUCAACUGCUGAAUUAUGGGUUUCUCUUGGCUACAGAAAGCUUUCAUUUCUGGAUAGAAGAAUGAGCGGAUGGGAAGGCGUAGGGAAGCCAGUGACAGUUCUUCAGUUAUGCAUUUCAAAAUCCAAGCCCAAGAAACUGAUGUUGGGAUUCAGCAGGAAGGCCCUGGUGCAUUCCGUCUUCCGCACCCACAGCUUCUGUAACUGACAACCCAGUGGAGGAAGGACAUCCCAAUGGAAGGAGCCCCAUGGACAUGGUUAGAUGCAGAUGCAAGACAGGUUAUGAGACCCACGGACCCUAGGAUUAGGAAAGACCCAGUAUCUAGAAGCACUGGGAAGACAGAAGAAGACAGAGGAAGAAAUGCAGACAGGAGAUUUGGAACGCCAUGCUGAUGGCCUUAUAAUGUACUGGGCAGCUAGAAUUCCAGGACUCCUACAGCUGGUUACAGUAAGCUGAGUUGUGUAUACUGGAUGCUUGCCAGCAUUAAAUGUUUUUAACU
Molecule: non-coding RNA, 546 nt
Organism: Pogona vitticeps (central bearded dragon)
Lineage: Eukaryota; Metazoa; Chordata; Lepidosauria; Squamata; Agamidae
Source: RefSeq, a predicted model, not a curated record